GACGAACCGUCCAAACGUUAUUCGGAAUCACUGGGCUUACAGAGUUCGUAGGCGGUCUGGAAAGUUGGGUGUGAAAUCCUUCGGCUCAACCGAGGAACUGCGCUUGAAACUACCAGACUCGAGGGAGAUAGAGGAAAGCGGAACUGAUGGUGGAGCGGUGAAAUGCGUAGAUAUCAAGUGGAACACCUGUGGCGAAGGCGAAUCCCUGGAAAAUACCUGACACUGAGGCACGAAAGCUAGGGGAGCAAACAGG
Molecule: ribosomal RNA, 253 nt
Filed under: uncultured bacterium
Lineage: Bacteria
Description: partial 16S ribosomal RNA
Rfam family: Bacterial small subunit ribosomal RNA
Source: RNAcentral